GAUGAACGCUGGCGGCGUGCCUAAUACAUGCAAGUCGAGCGAACAGACGAGGAGCUUGCUCCUCUGACGUUAGCGGCGGACGGGUGAGUAACACGUGGAUAACCUACCUAUAAGACUGGGAUAACUUCGGGAAACCGGAGCGAAUACCGGAUAAUAUAUUGAACCGCAUGGUUCAAUAGUGAAAGACGGUUUUGCUGUCACUUAUAGAUGGAUCCGCGCCGCAUUAGCUAGUUGGUAAGGUAACGGCUUACCAAGGCGACGAUGCGUAGCCGACCUGAGAGGGUGAUCGGCCACACUGGAACUGAGACACGGUCCAGACUCCUACGGGAGGCAGCAGUAGGGAAUCUUCCGCAAUGGGCGAAAGCCUGACGGAGCAACGCCGCGUGAGUGAUGAAGGUCUUCGGAUCGUAAAACUCUGUUAUUAGGGAAGAACAAAUGUGUAAGUAACUAUGCACGUCUUGACGGUACCUAAUCAGAAAGCCACGGCUAACUACGUG
RNAcentral lists this ribosomal RNA (497 nucleotides) under uncultured bacterium. RNAcentral's name for it is "partial 16S ribosomal RNA". It matches the Rfam family "Bacterial small subunit ribosomal RNA", at positions 28 to 507 of the family's 1533-position model. The record is from RNAcentral.